This 253-nucleotide ribosomal RNA is filed under the name uncultured bacterium. Its description in RNAcentral is "partial 16S ribosomal RNA". It matches the Rfam family "Bacterial small subunit ribosomal RNA", at positions 524 to 776 of the family's 1533-position model. The record is from RNAcentral.
UACGAAGGGGGCUAGCGUUGUUCGGAGUUACUGGGCGUAAAGGGCGCGUAGGCGGCGCACCAAGUCAGGCGUGAAAGCCCUGGGCUCAACCCGGGAAUUGCGCUUGAGACUGGUGUGCUUGAGUACGGGAGAGGAUAGUGGAAUUCCCAGUGUAGAGGUGAAAUUCGUAGAUAUUGGGUGGAACACCGGUGGCGAAAGCGGCCCCCUGGCCCGGUCCUGACGCUGAGGCGCGAAAGCUAGGGGAGCAAACAGG